CCUACGGGUGGCAGCAGUGGGGAAUCUUGGACAAUGGGCGCAAGCCUGAUCCAGCCAUGCCGCGUGAGUGACGAAGGCCUUAGGGUUGUAAAGCUCUUUUAGCAGGGAAGCGGUACCUGCAGAAUAAGCCCCGGCUAACUUCGUGCCAGCAGCCGCGGUGAUACGAAGGGGGCUAGCGUUGUUCGGAAUUACUGGGCGUAAAGCGCAUGUAGGCGGAUCAUUUAGUCAGGGGUGAAAUCCCGGGGCUCAACCUCGGAACUGCCUUUGAUACUGAUGGUCUCGAGUCCGAUAGAGGUGAGUGGAAUUCCUAGUGUAGAGGUGAAAUUCGUAGAUAUUAGGAAGAACACCAGUGGCGAAGGCGGCUCACUGGAUCGGACUGACGCUGAGGUGCGAAAGCGUGGGGAGCAAACAGGAUUAGAUACCCUUGUUGUC
This 432-nucleotide ribosomal RNA is filed under the name uncultured bacterium. RNAcentral describes it as "partial 16S ribosomal RNA". It matches the Rfam family "Bacterial small subunit ribosomal RNA", at positions 338 to 795 of the family's 1533-position model. The record is from RNAcentral.